CGAGCCGUGCGAGGAGGGACGUCCUCCAGGUGGAGGAACGCUGUCAGGCCGAGGUUGCUCACCUCCAAGCAAAGACGGCCGAAGUAGUCGCCCUCCAAGAGGCCCUGGAAAGAGAGAAACGAGCCUAGGAGGAGGAGAGGCAGACCUUGGAGGAAUCGGCGAGAAAGGCGGAGGUCGAGGUCACCAACUUGAUCGAGCAAACUCCUGUCCUGGUCUCGGAGGCCAG
This 226-nucleotide long non-coding RNA is filed under the name Elaeis guineensis (African oil palm). RNAcentral's name for it is "long non-coding RNA (EGUI_LNC062647)". Lineage: Eukaryota; Viridiplantae; Streptophyta; Magnoliopsida; Arecales; Arecaceae. The record is from RNAcentral.